RNAcentral lists this long non-coding RNA (9147 nucleotides) under Sus scrofa (pig). Lineage: Eukaryota; Metazoa; Chordata; Mammalia; Artiodactyla; Suidae. The record is from RNAcentral.
UUUUUUUUUUUCUUUUUAGGAGGUGCUUUGAGGGGACCAUACCAUGAGAACAAUACACAGCUGCUGCUGUAUAGAGAUAUCUAAUUGUCAAUAUUGUGGAAAUUCUACAGCUUAUUACGUGCAUUCAGUCUAAUUCUGGGCAAAUUGCCAGUCACUUCAGGGACAAUCAAGUGAGCCCCAUUACACGUGGUACAGCAUCACAGCUUUAAGAUACCCGGCUGUUUUGCCUCUGGCCAGAGAAUGUUUGUACCAGUGCUACCGAGUGAAGGGGGGUAACUACAAAUAAAAUAAAAUUUGUAUUUUUUCAAGUGGGCUGCAUUUCAAGUCCAGAUGUUAGUAAUGAAAGAUUCAAUUUAAGGAUUUAAAUUACAAAUAAAUAAAGUAUGAAACAGAUGUGAUUUUUAAGGAAGUUCAAAUUAUCCAGGAAGAAAAAUAUCUCUGUGCAUGACAAAGUAAUAGGGAUUGUCUUGAAGAGUCUGUUGAAGACAAUCUGCUGAGCGCAAUUCACCCUUAGGACAGGAUUGGUUUGGGAUGGGAAGGACUGGUGGAGCUUGUCAUUAAACAAAAAUUGUGUUUAAUAAAACUUUAUAACCGUGAUUAAUCCUAUGAGGCCCUAAAGGAGUUUGCAGUUUCUGAUAAACACAUUUUCCUUGUUUGCAAUGGUAAUGAUAUUUUGAAGUGAAUUGAGUAAGAACAAAAACUCUAAGGGUAGAAAAAAGGAGGGCUUGGCAGGUACCACCUAGGCAGAAAUUUCAGGGAUGUGUAAGAAACAGGGGCCAGCCAUUAGGAGACUGCCUUGACAUGUGUGCGACACACUCCCUCAUAGAUGGGGGCAAAUAUCACUAGAAACCAAGCUACGGAAGAGGCAGUAAUGAAGCAUGUCUCUAUUUAUACAGACAAGCUAAGAAGGCUUCUUUUAAUUCUAAGCUGAUCACUAGGUUUGCCUAUCAAAAGGGUGACAGUGACUUAAGACACAAAUUUAGAGAAUACUCCUUGAAAAUGAAAUCCGAAGGGACCAUCCAGAGUUGCCCUGUCCAGUAUAGGAGCCACUGGUCCUAUGUGGUUAUAUAAUUUAAAUUCAGUAAAUUUAAUAUAAAAUUUCCUGCAAACUACUACAUAUAGAAUGGAUACACGAGGUUCUACUACAUAGCCCAGGAAACUAUUCACUAUCCUGAGAUAAACCAUAAUGGAAAAGACUAUAAAAAAGAAUGUGUGUAUGUAUAUGUAUAACUGAAUCACUUUGUCGUAGAGCAGAAAUUAACACAUUGUAAAUCAACUAUACUUCAAUAUAAAUAAGUAAAUAAUAAAACAAAACUUUCCAUUUUUCCAUCAUAUCAACUACAUUUCAAGGACUCAGUAGCCCCAUCUGGCUAGUGGCCACCAUCCUGGGCAGUGCUGAAAAAGAACAUCACUCUCACAGCAGAAAGUUCUAUUGCAUGGCAUUAUUUCAGAGUGAGGCAGGAAGAUUAGAUUUGGACAUCAGUGGGGAGAGAGACCUUGAUGCUUGAUUCUCUUUAUUCCAGCUAUGGGACACGGUUCUCCAUGGUUUUAUCAUCCCAAAUCUCAAGAAUGCCUCUGUGCAUGGACAUAUGUGAUGCUCAAACUAGGCUGGUAAAAAUCAUUAUUACAGAGAGCUCUGGAGGCCCUAAGGAAAAGCUAACCCACAGGCCCAGCUCUGUUGACCCGGCCCCUCCUGCUGAUCAGUUAUCUCCAAUAGGUGACUGAGGACAAGCACUUUCAGAAGUUCAUCAUUGCUGUAGAGGCAUAACAUGCAUGCUGUAGCACCAACAACCAAACCUUGGCUAAUCAAAAGGCCACAAAAGUAAAUAAUUUUUGGUUGGCAACUUGGAUGUGGGGAAAUGCAAAUUUGCAAAGCAAUGGGCCUUUAAUAGGAGAACCAAUGCAGAAGAAAAAAAAAAAAGAGUUAAUCCCUCAGCAUACAAGCUCUAACAAUUGGGUCGUGUCUGUGGUGGAAAUCUUGCCUCCUGGGCAUCUCUCUGGUACCCACUGAGCAUCCUUGGAGUACCAGCUCACAGGCAAACCCAUCCUAGAAGAACCAUACAGCUUCUUUGUGCACAGGGCAUGAUCCCUCUGCCACAUGAACUUUUUCUGACUCCUUGGAACUGCCAGCAGCCAUUCCCCUUGGAUUCUGGCUGUGACAAAAGCAUCACUGCCUCCCCGGCAUCAGAUGGAAAAUGUAAUUUGAUGAAAACUCCAAAGUCAAAAUCUUUCAGAAGUCAAAACCCUUCAAUCUGUGCCAUACACUUGAGAGACUUUCAUAGGGGCUCUACACCCUAAGAGUGCUUUCAAACUUCAUACAUUUUCCUCUAUAUUAAAAUAGAUGCCUUUCCAUCAUCUCUCACAUGGCCCUCCCUCUUUCUCUAUUUACUGAAGGAUUUUUGUUUCAUAACACCACACAUAGUUCUCUCUCUAGCAGAUUAGGGUAAUGUGAGUAUUAAGGGAAUCCCAGUGUAGCAGAAAUUGAUACAACAUUGUAUACCAACUAUACUCUAAUAAAAAAUUUAAAAAUAAAAUAAAUAAAAGAAUACUAGCUUUUUGGGGAUGUUAGAGGUGGUCUAGUCCAGAGGUUGUAACUUGGGGUCCCCAGACAACUAGGAGAUUCAUAAAUGGGCUACAGGAAGCAUGGGAUUUUUUCAUUACAUAGAAAUUGUGUAUGUACAUUUUUCUGAGAAGAGGGUGAGCACUUUUAUCAAAGGCCAAAGAAAUGGUCAGCUCCAGCCCAUUUUUAAUAAGAAAACUGAGGCUCAGAGAAAUGAAUUAACCUUCUAGAAGUCACAUCAGUUAGCUGGACUCAAGUCAGACUGCAAACUCUUCUCCAGAGUCAUAGCAAACCACUAUGUUCACUAUAACAGACUACAGAGGGCAUUUUCCUCGGGUCAAAGUUAAUUCAAAAUCCUUGGAUCUUGUUGUAAGUCAAGAGAGCCCAAAAAAAAUCAGAAGUGAUGAUUUCAAGGAAAUGCUUUGUUGAAGGAGUGUAGUGUUCUGUGUUACUGUUACCCAGAUUCUCAAACUGUUACCUACAUUGAGGGAAAUUUGGAAAAUUCAAUAUUGCUUAGCAAGACUUAACUUUUUGCCUUUCCUUAAAUUUUGGAAUUAUUUUAGAAAGAGAAAUUCACCACUGGUUAUUUCCUAGAGGAAUAAUAUUUAUUUCAUUUUCAAAGACACUCAUUUACUGGGUUGUGCUAUAUGCCUUAGAUUUGGGAGUCAAGAUAAGCACAUAGAUAACCAGGAACUGCAUGUGUAUUAAUAUCACUUGCUCACCAGCAAUUCUGAAGAGCUUGAAGAGAAAAAAAAUUUGUUUUUGAACUGAAGCUUUUAAGACCCUUGAAGUAUGUUUAUUUAUUUCUUCUGCAGCAUGAUGGUUAAAAGCCCAAACUUUAAAGCAUAUGGACUUGGACUUAAUCUUGGCCCCAUCAUAGAAGUUUUGUGACCCUGGAUAAAUUGUUUAACCUCUCCAAACUGCAGCCUUCUCAUCUGUGCAAUGAAAAUAACUAUACGAACCACCUCACAGAACUGUUAUGAGGAUUAUUAUAAAAUAAUAAGCCCAAAGACUUUGUACUGUGUAUGGCACAGAGAAAUUGCUCAGUAAGGAUGAGCUCAUGAUUACAAUAAAUUUCAGAUGCCAAAGGUCAAAUCUUUUCAGGCGUGUAAAAAGAUCAACAAACCCAUUGUAGUAGGUUGAAUGAUGGCUCCUGAAAUGACGCAUCUGCCUCCUAAGUCCCAAACAUGUUCAGGUAACCUGAUUUGUAAAAAGGAUCUUUGCAGAUGUAAUAAAGUUAAAGAUCUUGGGAGGCAACCACCUUGGUUAUCCAGGUGGACCCUAAAUACAAUGAUGAGUGCCCUUACACACAGAGAAGAGAUGCACAGAAGGAGAGGAGAAAGCACAUGCAGAUGCAGGCAAUGGUUAGAGCCUUGCAACCUUGCCAGGGGUCUCCUGGAACCACUAGGAGCUGGACGUAGCAAGGAAAGAUUCCUGCCAGAACCAUAGGAAUGCAGCUGACCACACCAUGCUCUCAGACAUCUGGUCUCCUAAACUAGAAAAGAAUAUAUUUCUUUUGCUUUAAGCCACCAUGUUUGUGGUAAUUUGUUACAGAAGCCUUAGGAAAAAAAAAUACACCCACUAUGCCUUAAGUGCAAUUAUAUGUAUUAUUGAUACACACAAAGGCUUCAACAAUAUAAAACUGCAAUGAUUUUAAAGCAGGUCUCACACAUAAUAAAAAUGUUUUAUUUAUACUUAACAAAACUGGCAAAAAGUUAAUGAGAACUCCACCACUAGGCCACUGCAGAACUCCAGGUACCUCAUUCUUCUUGACAGUUUCCCUGGCAUCCAGGUCUACCUUCUGUACCAGAGUAACACGAUCUGCAGAAAAAUCUGGGGUCACUUCAGAAACUCACCCUCUUCUCCACCCCAACCUGCCGAUCCUCUUCUCUUGUCCUCUCUCAAAGAGAACAAACUCACAGGAAGCCCUGCACUUGGUUUCACAACAAAGAAGGGAAAAUGCACAGUUGCUCAAACACAGGAAUGACCCUGCUGACCACAUUAAAGGAGCAAGCUGAGGAAAGGGCAGCCCAAACAAAGACAUACACUGAUUCAGUCCUACCAAUGGAAUUUCUCUUCUGCCUCUUUUGAGGGUUCAGAAUAAUCAAAGGAGAGUGGUGCUGAGAAGGGGGAAAAAAAUUAAAACAAUUUUAUUUCACUCUAUUCCUGUAAGUCAAAUAAUAAUCUCUUUCAGAAUGUUUAUAUGCCCAUAAAAUGGCAUUGUCCAAACGGUAUUCAUCAAUGCCAAGUAAUUUUUUUCCAUUAAAAUGGUCAAACCAGUUUGGUCACUUGCCCUAAUGGCAAACAGGAUCAAAUACAUGACCCAUCUGAUCUGUGAGUGCUUGGCCCAAGAUCUCUCAUGUCUCCUUGAUGGGGGUCUGUGCACACAUCCCCACUCCCAGGUUGCCACUUCCAGUGGGAACUGCCUCCAGGACCACCUUCCUACACUGGGACUGCCUCACGGCCCAGACUGAAGCUGGACACACCUGGGCGUUCGCAACAGCUGCUCCCCUGCCCCACCUCCCACCCACCAACCAGUCAGCAGCCAGUCACUGGCCUCAGGUCACAGAACAUCUGGUGGUCCGCAGGGAAUAUUACCUUCUCUCUUUCCCAUACCUCCUUCUCCCCCUUGCUUAUUCUUCCUGUGUUCCCAUGGGAAGGAAGAAGAGAAAAGGGUUAUUUCCUAGUGGGACUUCUCUGACAAAUUGGGUGUCUCCUCUUUUGGCCAAAAGUACAGUUCCCUUAUAAGAACACUCCCCUAUCCUGGGCUGUUCCUGAGUUACAUGCCUUAUCUGUCUCAUAUGAGUCAGUUAGGGUUCUCCACUGGCCCCAUUAGAGAGGGAAUCCAUCCCUACCAUUUCAUUACCCCUCCUUUGGUAGUUCUUUGAAAGAAAAUGAAGCUUUAUGUAUGAAUGAUCCCCAGCAGGUGCUCUCUAAUGCAUGAGUCUUUUUGCCCCACAUUGAAGAGGUCUCCAAAAGUCCAGCAGUGAGUAACCCCAUCCAUGCUCUAAAUUUCCAUUUCCUCUCCCUCCCCUCCUGCACCCUCUCCCUCCUCUCUCUCCAUUUUCUCCUCUCCCUCAGCUUCUGAAAAGAGGACCAAGUCUUUACUGCUCAGAGGAUAGGGAGGUGGGGAGGAAAGAUGAACUAGCCUCUUCAGCAAAGUGUGGCAGUCAGCAUGGACUCCAAAACAAGACCUUCUGGGUUCCAGUCCUAGCUUUACGAUUUACUAGCUGGUUGUGUUGUUUUUUUACCUAUUUUCCAUUAGCAAUAAAUUCAUCCUUUCACCCUUCUCUAGAAUGUAUGACACUGAGCUAGCAGUCUACGAAGUGUAUUUCCAGACCCCCUUGCCUAGUAGCCUACCAUUCUACAGACUGAAGAAAAGAGGAAGGGGGACUUCUAGCUCCUGUCUACAUCACUACAGCAGCAGAAGACAGCUAUGGUCCAACUUCCUAAUCCCUCUGGUGCUCAUGGCAUCACCCUUAUCACACCCCCUUAUCAGCAGAGUUAACAGCAGCCAUGCUAGUGGUGUCCAUCCCACCUCCAUGAUUUGAGUUCCAGAUGGCCUUGUUCUUUUGGCUCCCUGAAUACCUUUCCUAUCUCCGUGGUUCACUAUGUCCCUCCCUUCCCCCAGAUUUCAAAGCACCAAUCAGCCAUGCCUCCCACAGAAGUCUGUGUACCAUGCCUUCAAAACUCCCUUCCAAGACUUAACCACUUGCCCUGCAGAGGUUCUUCCUCCAAGCUCCCAGCUCUUCCCACUCCAGUGAUGGCUGAGCCCUACCCCAAGAGAUUCUUAAUUAAUUGGUCUUGGGUAGGGCCUGGGAUCAAGAUCUUAAAACAUGCUAUUAUGUAUCCAAAGUAGAGAACCACUGCAAUAAGUCAUUUUACAAAGAAUGAGAAAGGUCUUAUGCAGAUGCACCCACAUAUUAUCACACUAGUUCUCUAAGACUAUCAGCACAUUUGCAAAAAUGUUGUUCACAGGUAAGGUGGAAGCAAGGAUAGGUGUGUAAUUAAUUUUUGAAGUCAGAAGGUACAUACCAAAAUUCCAUACUCCCAGCACUAAAUUGGGUACUACUCAGGACAGAAGGAAGUGAAAGACAUGGUUCCUGAUCAUCAGAUAACUUUAGUUAGAGAAGUCAAGAUUAAUAAACAUGAGUGUCACUUAGGCAGUACAUAUACUUAAACUGGAAUGAUACAGAGAUUAGCAUGGCCCCUGCGCAUGGAUGACACAUAAAUUCAUGAAGCAUUCCAUAUCUUUUCUUGGGAUAGAAUAUUUUGGAAGGUUAUAUGAGAAGGAGAAUGUAUAUGUAUGUAUGACUGGGUCACUUUGCUGUGCAGCCAAAAUUGACACAGCAUUGUAAAUCAACCAUACUUUAAUAAAAAAUUAAAAUUAAAAGGAAGUCAAAAAAGAUUAAUACACAUGAAAAAAUGAAGGCCUGAUACAGAGACACAAAGGAGGUAAUUGGCAUGAAAAUACAAAAUCCAACAGAGAUAGUUUAGUUUAGCAUUAAAAACAAUGCUUCCCUUUCUUUUAGGACUCACCAAAACAGGUGAUCAGGUCCACCUAUGGGUCUCGAAUUAGAUCGCAAAUGCUGAGCAUUAGAAUCAGCAGAGUCAUGUUAGUUUAGGCUUCUCAUGGUCCAGAGCCAGUCUGCUGGGUUGAGGGACCUUGAGAUCACAUCCUCUCAUGAGCACCCCAAAAUCACAACUACUGAACAGCCAUGGGUGAAAAGUGACAGGAACCUACCAAAAUUCUCAAGCCCCACCUGAAUAUUUCUGAGUCAGAGGGGCUUAGCAAUCUGCAUUUUAACUUUCCAAGUGAUUUUUUAACUCUCCAAGUGAUCCCAAAUGAGGUUGUUUUCCAAUCAUCCAUAGAAAAAAACUGGAUUAGGGAUUACUCCCUUUCUUUAGCAAGCAGUGUCCUGUGUGUGGGAUCCAGGGUCUGACCUCUCAGCCCAUUGCCCAACCCCCCUCCUUGCCUGAGCUCCUGACCUCCUUGUCACAAAUAAUCUUCAGGACCAAACUGCCCUUUCAAGACUUGAACAAGAUCUCUAAACCAAUCCCAGCUCUAAUCUCUAUCCUCACCUAAUUGUUGCUGACCUUGGAGUCUACUGAGUCCACCAGCUCCUGGGGCUUUCUGCAAUGUUUCUUACAUGCCUACCUCCAGCCUUGUCUCCUUGCUUUUAACCUUGCCUCUGAAGCUCAGCAAGGCUUCCUCAGGCCAGAUGGGUCCUUUCUGGAAAGUGAGGCUCCCUCAGGCCAGAUGGGCUAAUAUCCUCUGGGUUGUCCUUUCUGGAAAGUGAAGUUUUCUCUGUACUCUGCAGUUUGGAACAGAGUGACACUAAUAGGCCAUUCUGGCCACCAAAACUCAUACCCUUAGCCUCAUCAAUUGAGAGCUUUGAGCUAACCAGCUAAUGGCAGGAAAACAUAUUCAAUUAUAGAAAUUACCAAAUUAUGACUCCUCCCUCUUGGGGAGGAAACUAGAAAGAGCUAACGGGCUUUGUGCUGUUCUGAAUAAUAAUACUACAUGUGUAAGACAGUUUCUGCAUCACAAAACCUCUCACGUGUCCUACCUCUGUUGAUCCCUUCAACAACUUCGUAAGGGAGGCCCUGCUGUUAUUUUCACGCCCGCUUUGUGAUUGAGGACACUAGGGCCCUAGGGCUUGCUUUGGAAGACUGAUGGCCCUCCAGAAGACUAUUCCGUCAUCAACUGGCAUUCCUCAGGGUCCAGAGAGCCCUACAGUAGGGAUAAUGGGCAUCCAGGCUGUGCCAGGCACUUCACAUGUAUUAGCUUUCUUGACUCCCCUGGCUCAUGCCUCUCCAGACCCACUGGCUUCCCUGCCAUCCCUCCAACAGGCCAGACACCUCCUGCCUCAGGGCCAUUACCUUUGCUGGUCUCUGUCUGGGAUGAGCCCCUUCCAGAGGCCUAUGGAACUGACUUCCUUCCUUCAUUCUUUCCCUCCUUCCUUCCACCCAGACUUUAGUCAAAUAUCCCUUUCUCCAUGCAGCCUUCCCUGACCAACCCCCUUAAAAUCCCAACUCCCCACCACCAAUUCCUGCCCCUUCCCUGAUUUUUUUUUCACCAUUUGACACAAUAUUUAUGUUCUUUAUUGUCUAGUUCCCCCACAAUAGGAUAUAAACUUCAGGAGCAUGGAUUCUUAUCUGUCAUGUUCACCGCCUAGAGUAGGCAGGCAAUACAUAUUUGUCAAUUGAGGACACUGUAUCAUCCAAGCCUUCAGCAUUCCUGCAGGAUAUGUGUUAUUAGUUCCACCUUAGAGAUGAGAAAAGUAAGACAAAGAUUUUAGGUGACCUGCACUCAAUCUAGAUUUGCCACAUUUAGCAAACAAAACUAUAGGAUGCUCGAUUAAAUUGGAAUAUCAGAAAGAAAAAAAAUAUAUUGUAUGUAUGUUACAUACUUGGGACAUAACACAGAAAAAUCUGAAAUUUUAUCUAAAAUUCAAAUGUAACUAGACAUCCUGUAUUAUAUCUGAUUGCUACUAAAUCCCAUUAUAAGAAAGAGACAGAGCUGGGAAUCUCACCCUGUUUCUUUGAUCCCCAAAUCCCUGCCCAAAGCCCAAAGUCUCUCAUUC